RNAcentral lists this ribosomal RNA (485 nucleotides) under uncultured bacterium. RNAcentral describes it as "partial 16S ribosomal RNA". It matches the Rfam family "Bacterial small subunit ribosomal RNA", at positions 30 to 507 of the family's 1533-position model. The record is from RNAcentral.
AUUGAACGCUGGCGGCAUGCCUUACACAUGCAAGUCGAACGGCAGCACGGGUGCUUGCACCUGGUGGCGAGUGGCGAACGGGUGAGUAAUACAUCGGAACGUACCUUAUCGUGGGGGAUAACGCAGCGAAAGUUGCGCUAAUACCGCAUACGCCCUGAGGGGGAAAGCGGGGGACCGUAAGGCCUCGCGCGAUUAGAGCGGCCGAUGUCUGAUUAGCUUGUUGGUGAGGUAAAAGCUCACCAAGGCGAUGAUCAGUAGCUGGUCUGAGAGGACGAUCAGCCACACAGGGACUGAGACACGGCCCAGACUCCUACGUGAGGCAGCAGUGGGGAAUUUUGGACAAUGUGGGCAACCCUGAUCCAGCAAUGCCGCGUGAGUGAAGAAGGCCUUCGGGUUGUAAAGCUCUUUUGUCAGGGAAGAAACAGCAGCUCUAACACAGUCUGCGAAUGACGGUACCUGAAGAAUAAGCACCGGCUAACUACGUG